This is a long non-coding RNA of Bos taurus (domestic cattle), 989 nucleotides long. The record is from Ensembl. NCBI's taxonomy places the organism in Eukaryota, Metazoa, Chordata, Mammalia, Artiodactyla, Bovidae.
GUGUAGAGCUGUCAGGCCGGUCCGCGGGCGCGCCCGGCCCCGCGCCCCGCCGGCCGCCGCCUCCAUCCCCGCCCGCGGCCCGCGCUCCGAGCGCCCAGACCCGAGGCGGCCCGCACGUGCGCCCGCUCGCCGCCCGCCAGCCGACGAUCUGGGAGCAUGCCCGCGGGAGUCCGGCCGCUCGCCCGGGGCCAGCUGGCGGCGGCGGCGGCGCGUGGAGCCGCGGGGCGCAGCCGGCCGGGUUGGGGCCACCGGGCCGGAGUCUCCCGGGCCGCGUGAGGCGGCGGCGGCCCAGCGCGGCCGAAGAGGACGGAGCAGCGCCGUGCAGAGCGGGGAUGCUGGCCAGGCUGCCCUGGUGCCCGAUACCCUUCUGUGGGCCUCGAGAGUAGGACGUCAGCGCUGCCUUCCCACACAGACCCGCAGCUCAGCCUGGCUGCAUUCGCGUUCUGCAUCCUCUGACCUGACGCAGGAGCCGUCCAUCCGCAGGAGGUCUGCCUCUAAGAAGGGGGUCCCAGUGGCGAGAGCAUCUGCUCUCAGCCCUGCCUCUCCCCAAAGCAGAGGACUUUUGCUGUCCUGAGCAGCUGGCAGGGAGGGGCACUUCCUGCCAUUGUCGCCACUGCCCGCCAAGGCCUCCGCAAGGUCACUACUGUCUCCUGAGGAGGAAGAGAGCUGAUGACAAGGGCAGGGACCUCAGACCACAGCCGCAACCGACACACUGUUCGUCCACACUGCAAGGAAGCAUCUGCUUAUGGAAUGACCCCCCACACCUCCCGGGGACCAGACCAGGUAUUCACAGACUUGGAGAAAGUCUUUUCCUUGAAGUGGGGAUGUCCACCACGGGAAGCCUUCCACUGACGAAGAGGGGAGCGCUCCGCAGACCCAGCAGUUAGACCGAUUGUGGAAUGCAGCAUAGGAGUGAGCCCAGGACAGGAAGACAUUGUCUUGAGGAUCCAACGGCAGACUCAGGAUAUUUGGAGUCAGCAGAAGUAGAC